AACUUUUAGCAAUGGAUCACUUGGCUCUCCCAUCGAUGAAGAACGCAGCGAAAUGCGAUAACUAAUGUGAAUUGCAGAAUUCAGUGAAUCAUCGAAUCUUUGAACGCACCUUGCGCCCUUUGGCUAUUCCGAAGGGCAUGCCUGUUUGAGUAUCAUAAACACCUCAACUCUCAUGGUUUGCCAUGAUGAGCUUGGACUUUGGGGGUCUUGCUGGCCUAUGGUCAGCUCCUCUCAAACGAAUCAGCUUGCCAGUGUUUGGUGGCAUCACAGGUGUGAUAACUAUCUACGCUUGUGGUUUUCCACCAGGUAACCUUCAGUGAUGGAGGUUCGCUGGAGCUCAUAAACGUCUCUCCUCUGCGAGGACAACUUUUUGAAUGUUUGAUCUCAAAUCAGGUAGGACUACCCGCUGAACUUAAGCAUAUCAAUAAGCGGAGGCU
Molecule: unclassified non-coding RNA, 437 nt
Filed under: uncultured Thelephoraceae
Lineage: Eukaryota; Fungi; Basidiomycota; Agaricomycetes; Thelephorales; Thelephoraceae
Description: sequence contains ITS2
Rfam family: 5.8S ribosomal RNA (bases 1-155)
Source: RNAcentral